UUCUUAUUCUUAGUUUGAUUUUUCUUUAUGGCUCAGUUGACACAUCUGUACUUCAACCACUUUUUCAUGGGUUUGUUGGUACUAUUCAUACUACCACUACAUCGGCCGUUACCGAUGUUUCUUCUGGUUUUGAUGACUUCGGAGAAAUGGGAAGAACCUAUGAAGAGAAUUUCUCAGAAGAAUCAAAAAAUGCAAGCCGUUUGAGUUCCAAUAUGGAGAAUUGUGAAUCUGUGAUAUAUAUAAAGACCUAAUGAAGAUUAUCUAAGAUGGAGAUGGCAACCGGAUGACUGCAAUUUACCAAGCUUGAAUCCUACUGAUUUUCUUGAGAGAUUGCGGGGAAAGAGGAUUAUUUUUGUUGGGGAUUCGCAGAACCGUAAUAUGUGGAAAUCGUUGGUGUGUAUGCUGAGGCAUGGUGUUGCAAAUACUAGCAGAGUUCACAAG
Molecule: long non-coding RNA, 441 nt
Organism: Papaver somniferum (opium poppy)
Lineage: Eukaryota; Viridiplantae; Streptophyta; Magnoliopsida; Ranunculales; Papaveraceae
Exons: 3
Source: RefSeq, a predicted model, not a curated record